Molecule: long non-coding RNA, 295 nt
Filed under: Cavia porcellus (domestic guinea pig)
Lineage: Eukaryota; Metazoa; Chordata; Mammalia; Rodentia; Caviidae
Description: lncRNA (ENSCPOG00000039140.1)
Source: RNAcentral
UCUUUACCCUUUGUUUUAGAUCUGUUCAGCUGAAUGUCAUUUUUUUUUUUUUUUGCAGUUUUCACACCUAUUAUUGUAUCCUGUGUGCUAUGGAAAACCAGCAGGAUGGCAUGCUGAGGCUUUCCAUCACAAAGAGCAAUUAAAAUACUGCAGGUCUAUCUCACAAAGUACACAUGGCAGAACUGGAGUUUCCAUUCCCUCUCCGCACUUAGUUAAGGACCUACAGGCUUCCAGGCCACUGGACUGACCGUACUCUACUCUCACUUCAGCACCAGAAACCUCCAUGGCAUCAGAG